Molecule: ribosomal RNA, 429 nt
Filed under: Gemmatimonadota bacterium
Lineage: Bacteria; Pseudomonadati; Gemmatimonadota
Description: Gemmatimonadetes bacterium partial 16S ribosomal RNA
Rfam family: Bacterial small subunit ribosomal RNA
Source: RNAcentral
UAGGGAAUCUUCGGCAAUGGACGAAAGUCUGACCGAGCAACGCCGCGUGAGUGAAGAAGGUUUUCGGAUCGUAAAACUCUGUUGUUAGAGAAGAACAAGGACGUUAGUAACUGAACGUCCCCUGACGGUAUCUAACCAGAAAGCCACGGCUAACUACGUGCCAGCAGCCGCGGUAAUACGUAGGUGGCAAGCGUUGUCCGGAUUUAUUGGGCGUAAAGCGAGCGCAGGCGGUUUCUUAAGUCUUAUGUGAAAGCCCCCGGCUCAACCGGGGAGGGUCAGUGGAAACUGGGAGACUUGAGUGCAGAAGAGGAGAGUGGAAUUCCAGGUGUAGCGGUGAAAUGCGUAGAUAUAUGGAGGAACACCAGUGGCGAAGGCGGCUCUCUGGUCUGUAACUGACGCUGAGGCUCGAAAGCGUGGGGAGCAAACAGG